AGUCAAUAGAUACCCCGGUAGUCCACGCCGUAAACGAUGAGUACUAGGUGUAGGAGGUAUCGACUCCUUCUGUGCCGCAGUUAAACACAAUAAGUACUCCGCCUGGGAAGUACGGUCGCAAGAUUAAAACUCAAAGAAUUGACGGGGCCCGGCACAAGCAGCGGAGCAUGUGGUUUAAUUCGAAGCAACGCGAAGAACCUUACCUAGACUUGACAUCUCCUGAAUAGCGCAGAGAUGCGUGAAGCCCUUCGGGGUCGAGGAAAGACAGGUGGUGCAUGGUUGUCGUCAGCUCGUGUCGUGAGAUGUUGGGUUUAAGUCCCGCAACGAGCGCAACCCCUAUUAUUAGUUGCUACCAUUAAGUUGAGCACUCUAAUGAGACU
RNAcentral lists this ribosomal RNA (380 nucleotides) under uncultured bacterium. Its description in RNAcentral is "bacterial SSU rRNA". It matches the Rfam family "Bacterial small subunit ribosomal RNA", at positions 775 to 1150 of the family's 1533-position model. The record is from RNAcentral.